CAUGCAAUAGAUACAUACAUAUAUAUUCAACCAUAAGGGUGUACUAAUGAGCUAUGUGAAAUAGAAGAAGAAAAAAAAAUCAUAGUUGAGGACUACUGAAAUUAAAUUGCUUCAGUGUAAGUAAGGGAAGGGCAGGUUAAAAUAAAACACAUGGCAGCCAGACAAGCCUGUAUAUGAAUCAAAUGGAUUUGCAUAUGAAUGGAGCUGACUUCCUGAUCUGUACGGAGGCUGGUGACACCUUAAUUGGGGAGAACAAGUUAGGUUGAAAGAGGUUCGACACGUCUCUGGCUGACUGCGUCCGGCUGCACUGGGGCAGGAGGAGCAGGAGCCCAGGGAGCAGUUUGAGAUCUGCUACAAGCUCUUCCAGCUGACCAACAUGGAGGAAGGGAACCAGCUCGGAACGGUGACCUGUGAAUCAUUCUGCAUACAGAUCAACAACCUGUUGGCGCAGAGGUUCUACGAGUUCGGUGAAGCGGACCGAUGCCUGCUGCCUGGUCAACGGAAUCUGGAAGGACACCAUGGUGCUCGGAAACUAUCACCAGGGGGCUUCACCAGGAGGCAAGAGCAGAGAAGGAUAUUGCCCUUGUAGUGGGCUAGUGGGGCGUGAGUGCAUAGCUAUAUAUAUAUUUUUUUUCUCUCUCUAAUAAAAGACGUUGUCAAUAUAUAAUU
This is a long non-coding RNA of Oncorhynchus tshawytscha (Chinook salmon), 669 nucleotides long. RefSeq lists it as uncharacterized. NCBI's taxonomy places the organism in Eukaryota, Metazoa, Chordata, Actinopteri, Salmoniformes, Salmonidae. The record is from RefSeq and is a predicted model, not a curated record. The transcript is spliced from 2 exons.